AGUGAACGCUGGCGGUAGGCCUAACACAUGCAAGUCGAACGGCGGCACAGUAAGAGCUUGCUCUUACGGGUGGCGAGUGGCGGACGGGUGAGGAAUACAUCGGAAUCUACUUUUUCGUGGGGGAUAACGUAGGGAAACUUACGCUAAUACCGCAUACGACCUACGGGUGAAAGCAGGGGAUCUUCGGACCUUGCGCGAUUGAAUGAGCCGAUGUCGGAUUAGCUAGUUGGCGGGGUAAAGGCCCACCAAGGCGGCGAUCCGUAGCUGGUCUGAGAGGAUGAUCAGCCACACUGGAACUGAGACACGGUCCAGACUCCUACGGGAGGCAGCAGUGGGGAAUAUUGGACAAUGGGCGCAAGCCUGAUCCAGCCAUACCGCGUGGGUGAAGAAGGCCUUCGGGUUGUAAAGCCCUUUUGUUGGGAAAGAAAAGCAGCAGGUUAAUACCCCGCUGUUCUGACGGUACCCAAAGAAUAAGCACCGGCUAACUUCGUG
Molecule: ribosomal RNA, 492 nt
Filed under: uncultured bacterium
Lineage: Bacteria
Description: partial 16S ribosomal RNA
Rfam family: Bacterial small subunit ribosomal RNA
Source: RNAcentral